CGGAGGGUGAUCCGAUCCGGGGAUCGGCGCGGUCUCGAAAACCGAGGGCACCUUCGCGGUGUGGAGUUCGACUCUUCCGCCCUCCU
This 86-nucleotide transfer RNA is filed under the name Sandaracinus amylolyticus. RNAcentral describes it as "Selenocysteine transfer RNA". It matches the Rfam family "Selenocysteine transfer RNA". Lineage: Bacteria; Pseudomonadati; Myxococcota; Polyangiales; Sandaracinaceae. The record is from Rfam by way of RNAcentral.